RNAcentral lists this ribosomal RNA (444 nucleotides) under uncultured bacterium. RNAcentral describes it as "partial 16S ribosomal RNA". It matches the Rfam family "Bacterial small subunit ribosomal RNA", at positions 354 to 796 of the family's 1533-position model. The record is from RNAcentral.
GUAGGGAAUAUUGGGCAAUGGUCGGAAGACUGACCCAGCCAUGCCGCGUGCAGGAAGACGGCCCUCUGGGUUGUAAACUGCUUUUAUCUGGGAAGAAAAGGGCCAUGCGUGGCAAAUUGCCGGUACCAGAUGAAUAAGCACCGGCUAACUCCGUGCCAGCAGCCGCGGUAAUACGGAGGGUGCGAGCGUUGUCCGGAUUUAUUGGGUUUAAAGGGUGCGUAGGCGGCUGAUUAAGUCAGCGGUGAAAGACUUCGGCUUAACCGGGGCAGUGCCGUUGAUACUGGUUGGCUUGAGUGUCGGAGGGGUACAUGGAAUUGAUGGUGUAGCGGUGAAAUGCAUAGAUACCAUCAGGAACACCGAUAGCGAAGGCAUUGUACUGGCCGACAACUGACGCUGAUGCACGAAAGUGUGGGGAUCGAACAGGAUUAGAUACCCUAGUAGUCC